This is a long non-coding RNA of Vespula pensylvanica (western yellowjacket), 1135 nucleotides long. RefSeq lists it as uncharacterized. Lineage: Eukaryota; Metazoa; Arthropoda; Insecta; Hymenoptera; Vespidae. The record is from RefSeq and is a predicted model, not a curated record. The transcript has 3 exons.
ACUACUACUACUCCUGUUACUGCUGCUGCUGUUGCUGUUAUACCACUAACUUCGUGUGGUACUUCGCGAGGAACCAAUAAAAGUUCCUAGGCAAUGGAAAAGAAGAAACGUUCGUGAACGCGUUCGUUCGAUUUAUAUCCCGCAGGGGCUCGAAGAAGAACUAAGAGGAAAGAAGAAAGAAGAAAGAAGAGAACGAGAACAAGAAGUAUAUAUCCUGGCGUACGUUUCUUCGCGGGUUCGUCGAUCGUUCGAUGAGAUUCUUAUUGCCAGCUUCCUGCUGCACGUAUCACGCUGGUUACCUCUAGCUCGCAGCAUACACGGAAGUCUCGAAAGCGUUUGAAGAGAAAAAGAAGUGGAGGAGGAGGAGGAGGAGGAGGAGGAGAAGGAGGAAGAGGAGAAGGAAGAAGAUGAAGGAGGAUAAAGAGGAGUACUAGGUGCACCCUAUGCUUCUCCACGCAUAGUCCAUUAUCGUGUUCUAUCGUAGAACACGUACAUAACUACGAAUCGCAAGCUAUAUAUAUAUAUAUAUAUAUAUAUAUUGUACGUUUAUAUUGUAUACAUUCGCUGAGGGACCGGUCCCAACUGUGCGUGCACUGCCUACGUCGCACGCAUUAUUUCUUUUCGCGAACCGACGUGGACAGAGGUCAAGAAGAAGAGGAAGAAGAAAAAGAAGAGAAGAGAAGAAUACGACGAGACGAUGAGAGAGGCGAGAGUGAAGAAGAGGUGCCGUUGGUGGAGGUGGAGAAAUAAGAGGUAGUGGAGGAGGGGGAGGAGGAUGGUCGAAUGGGAAGAAUGCGUGACUCUUCUUCCGUCGUCGCGUACGCGACGUGUGCGAGGUCAGUGACCAUGAAGCGCGUACAAGGUGGGCGCGACUUCUUGCGCGACUUAGAGAGAGAGAGAGAGAGAGAGAGAGAGAGAAAGAGAGGGAUAGACCUGGGGCUGGUCGCGUCUUCGAGCUGGAAAAUGCGACGCGGAACGAAUACUUCGUACACGUAGUAUGCGAUACUCGAGCUAAUAUAGAACGGCUCGCGAGGAACGCGUCGAUCCUGAGAGUAUAUAUAUAUGUAUGUAUGUAUAUAUGUGUAUGUAUAUACAUGUAUGCGUGUGUGCAUGUGAAAGAGAGAAAUAUUCUUAA